UACGUAGGGUGCAAGCGUUAUCCGGAUUUACUGGGUGUAAAGGGCGAGUAGACGGUUUUGUAAGUCAGAUGUGAAAACUUAGAGCUCAACUUUAAGACUGCAUCUGAAACUGUAGAACUAGAGUGCAGGAGAGGUAAGCGGAAUUCCUAGUGUAGCGGUGAAAUGCGUAGAUAUUAGGAGGAACACCAGUGGCGAAGGCGGCUUACUGGACUGUAACUGACGUUGAGGCGCGAAAGUGUGGGGAGCAAACAGG
RNAcentral lists this ribosomal RNA (253 nucleotides) under uncultured bacterium. Its description in RNAcentral is "partial 16S ribosomal RNA". It matches the Rfam family "Bacterial small subunit ribosomal RNA", at positions 524 to 776 of the family's 1533-position model. The record is from RNAcentral.